RNAcentral lists this ribosomal RNA (515 nucleotides) under uncultured bacterium. RNAcentral's name for it is "bacterial SSU rRNA". It matches the Rfam family "Bacterial small subunit ribosomal RNA", at positions 15 to 518 of the family's 1533-position model. The record is from RNAcentral.
GAUUCUGGCUCAAGGAACGAACGCUGGCGGCGCGUUUAAGCAUGCAAGUCGAGCGGCAAGGGCCUUCGGGCCCCUAGAGCGGCGGACGGGUGAGUAACACGUGGACAAUCUGCCCCCCGGCCCGGGAUAGCCCAGGGAAACCUGGAUUAAUACCGGAUGAGACGGGACCUGCGAUGGCGGGAUCCGGGAAAGGCGCUACGGCGCCGCCGGGGGAUGAGUCUGCGUCCCAUUAGCUAGACGGCGGGGUAACGGCCCACCGUGGCGACGAUGGGUAGCCGGCCUGAGAGGGUGGACGGCCACAUUGGAACUGAGACACGGUCCAGACUCCUACGGGAGGCAGCAGCUAAGAAUCUUCCGCAAUGGGCGAAAGCCUGACGGAGCGACGCCCGCGUGAACGAAGAAGGCCGUGAGGUUGUAAAGUUCUUUUCGGGAGGGGGAACAACCGUGGCAGGGAAUGGCCGCGGGAUGACGUGAAUCCCGGAAUAAGCCCCGGCUAACUACGUGCCAGCAGCCGC